CCCUUAGAUGUUCUGGGCCGCAUGCGUGCUACACUGAGUAAUUCAAUGGGUAAGGGAACGCUAGAGCAUUACCUAAUCUUGAAAUUUGCUCGUGAUGGGGAUCGACGGUUGCAAUUUUCCGUCGUGAACGAGGAAUACCUUGUAGGCGCAUGUCAUCAUCAUGCGCCGAAUACGUCCCUGCCCUUUGUACACACCGCCCGUCGCUCCUACCGAUUGAGUGAUCCGGUGAGGCUCUGGGACCUGGACGGAAAGAGCGUUUCGCUUGUUCUGUUUGGGAAACUUGGUCGAACCUUAUCAUUUAGAGGAAGGAGAAGUCGUAACA
This 322-nucleotide ribosomal RNA is filed under the name uncultured eukaryote. Its description in RNAcentral is "partial 18S ribosomal RNA". It matches the Rfam family "Eukaryotic small subunit ribosomal RNA", at positions 1470 to 1796 of the family's 1831-position model. The record is from RNAcentral.